UACGUAGGGUGCAAGCGUUGUCCGGAAUUAUUGGGCGUAAAGAGCUCGUAGGCGGUUUGUUGCGUCGGCUGUGAAAUCCCGAGGCUCAACCUCGGGUCUGCAGUCGAUACGAGCAAACUAGAGUGUUGCAGGGGAGACUGGAAUUCCUGGUGUAGCGGUGAAAUGCGCAGAUAUCAGGAGGAACAUCGGUGGCGAAGGCGGGUCUCUGGGCAACAACUGACGCUGAGGCUCGAAAGCGUGGGGAGCAAACAGG
RNAcentral lists this ribosomal RNA (253 nucleotides) under uncultured bacterium. RNAcentral's name for it is "partial 16S ribosomal RNA". It matches the Rfam family "Bacterial small subunit ribosomal RNA", at positions 524 to 776 of the family's 1533-position model. The record is from RNAcentral.